UGGAGGACUCCACAAAGUUCACCUCCAUAUUGAACCUCUGUCAAGGAUGGAAGAAGGGAAAAGUCCCUAAAUAUUACAAGCAGCAGUCUCUCCUGAUGUAGCAGUGUCCCUUUUAUUCAAAGGGCUACCUCCACCCUGCCUGAAUGUUCCUGUUGUCUGAGAUGCUGGAGGUCUAGGAGUUUGGCAGAUGGGGAGUGGGAGGGAUGCUUUGUGAAUGAAAAGACCAAAUUCUUGCAAUCCAGUUUUGGGCAAACUACAGCAUCCUGGCCUGGGCUGUGCAGUCCUGCACCAUUCCUUCCACUCUGUACCGUUGCAUUGAGGUACUUCUUGCACAAAGCAUCCCAACCCAGCAAGACAAGGAUUUAAAUGUCUGUGGGAUGGGAGCUCCAGGUUUUAGUCUGAAGCAUGGGUGGUUACUUAUUCCCCUGGCAGAAAAGUCUUCUUGGACCAGAGCGCUCUGAAAUGGAUUGUUUAGGGAGGGUGUGUUAAUAGAAGUUGAGCCUAAAAAGUCAGGUUAAACAAUAUUUUCUGGGUUUAGCUAUGGAAAGGAAGACAGAUUAUUGAUCUGUGAUUUCUCCAGCUCCUGUUCUUGUUUUCUGGGACUCUGAGCAAAGUCUGUCUUACAAGUGGUAAUGUCUGAUAAGCCUGUUUGCAAAUGAACACACCUGUUAAUGGUUUAAAAAUGUCCCUCCACAAAAUACCUGUUAAAACUUCACUCUUCAUAUUUUAAAGGGAAGUUUUGUUUUAUGUUCUUCUGUUCAAACAUCAUGUGGCUGAGUAGCAGCAAAGUGAAUAAUAGUUGAGUGCAUAAUUUUGAUCUAAUUACAUUGGUAUUGAAUUGCAGGUGAAGCAUUAAAUUGAUUUGAAAAAAAAUCUC
RNAcentral lists this long non-coding RNA (877 nucleotides) under Anser brachyrhynchus (Pink-footed goose). Its description in RNAcentral is "lncRNA (ENSABRG00000012260.1)". The record is from RNAcentral. Lineage: Eukaryota; Metazoa; Chordata; Aves; Anseriformes; Anatidae.